AACGAACGCUGGCGGCAGGCUUAACACAUGCAAGUCGAACGCAUCCUUCGGGGUGAGUGGCAGACGGGUGAGUAACGCGUGGGAACGUGCCCUUCAGUUCGGAAUAACCCAGGGAAACUUGGGCUAAUACCGGAUACGUGCGAGAGCAGAAAGAUUUAUCGCUGAAGGAUCGGCCCGCGUCUGAUUAGCUAGUUGGUGAGGUAAUGGCUCACCAAGGCGACGAUCAGUAGCUGGUCUGAGAGGAUGAUCAGCCACAUUGGGACUGAGACACGGCCCAAACUCCUACGGGAGGCAGCAGUGGGGAAUAUUGGACAAUGGGCGCAAGCCUGAUCCAGCCAUGCCGCGUGAGUGAUGAAGGCCUUAGGGUUGUAAAGCUCUUUCAGUGGGGACGAUAAUGACGGUACCCGCAGAAGAAGCCCCGGCUAACUUCGUGCCAGCAGCCGCGGUAAUACGAAGGGGGCUAGCGUUGUUCGGAAUCACUGGGCGUAAAGGGCGCGUAGGCGGCUUUGUAAGUCGGGGGUGAAAGCCUGUGGCUCAACCACAGAAUUGCCUUCGAUACUGCAUGGCUUGAGACCGGAAGAGGUUAGUGGAACUGCGAGUGUAGAGGUGAAAUUCGUAGAUAUUCGCAAGAACACCAGUGGCGAAGGCGGCUGACUGGUCCGGUUCUGACGCUGAGGCGCGAAAGCGUGGGGAGCAAACAGGAUUAGAUACCCUGGUAGUCCACGCCGUAAACGAUGAAUGCCAGCCGUUGGCGAGCUUGCUCGUCAGUGGCGCAGCUAACGCUUAA
Molecule: ribosomal RNA, 787 nt
Filed under: bacterium
Lineage: Bacteria
Description: bacterial SSU rRNA
Rfam family: Bacterial small subunit ribosomal RNA
Source: RNAcentral